UUUAGAGUCCAUUACUCAUGUGGAGGAGUGCAGAAUCAAAUCCGGUUCUCCAAAUACAAUCCACUGCUCUCAACUACUACUUCCUGAUUUUUCCAAGUGAUUUUACCUAACAAUCCACAAAUAGUUUUGUUGACAUACAAUGCCCUGAAGGAAUAUGUGAUAUACCUUCUUUGUGUACAUAGAAAUUGCAGUUCCUGUGCCUACUCCCUUCCUGUGCCAUCAAUAAAAUCCGCAGCACAAAUGGCUUCAGGAGUUGCUACAGGCAAUGCUUCAUAGUAAAUAGAUGAUGUCUUAAAAGCAGAUAUGGCCUGUACAUGGAGUAUCACUCUCUACUUAGCAAAAAUAUUGUGCACAAUGCAUACUAUCACUCUAGCUAGUGCAGUACAAUCGUAUUUCCCUCUUUUAUCAUGCAUAAUGCUGAGCUCCCUCAGCUUCCCCCAAAGGAACAGUCUGCUCAGUAGCUGUCACAACAGGGCCACUUCCUACUAAGAAGCUUGUAGCACUCUAAAAAACUGACCAACAAUGAAAGUAUAAAGCCUUACAUUUCAAGCAGUUCUUUAUUAUUUACCAGCUCUGGCGUAACUCCUUUGCAUAGAAGGAAAGGGCUUACUCAUGGAGAUGAAAGCCUGAAGAAUAUUGCAGUGUCGUAAGAAGACAACAAGAAGUCUUGUGUUCUGAACAUCAACAUGCAGCAAAAGAGAAUCGGUCAGAUAGGGGAGCAGAGAUUAGAAAUGUUUGGCAGUCAUCACUGUGCUUGUAAAACUAGCAAGAGCCAUUUGGGACAGAUAUCACACACUCUUAGAAUACCUGUGACCAUUCUCCUUACUGUAUCUAAAGCGGAUGUUUCCCUCUUGCACUAGCACAUCCAAAAGCAUCAAUUAGAUCACUAAUUAAUCACAAAGUUAAAUUUAUAUUGUAGGUGUAAGCCAAAGAAGAGUCCUUCCCUCAAAUUCCAACUAUCUAGUGCAGACCUGGGCAUUAUACGGCCCAGGGGCCACAUCCGGCCCGCCUGAUGACCCUGACUGGCCCGUAUUCGCGAUGACUACGUCUCAAUAUGAUUAGCGUCGAAAGCCGUCAAUCAAACCCAUGGCUCCAUCGAUUGAAGGAAUUCUUCAGUGAAAAAUCAACAACAAGGAGGAUUGUUAAGUGGCCAUCUCAAGCAGUGAUGCUGACCAUGGACUCCUGUUUAUCACUGUCAACACUGGAAUCAAUUUCUAGGCACUACUAGCCUGCCAACAAUGUCUCCACAGAUUCAAGGAAUGUGACAUAUCAACCCCCAGAAUUUGGAUCCAUUCCUCCCUUCCCUCAAGAGUACUGUUGGCAAGCUUUGGAAAAGGUUAUGCAAUUCUGCUAAGCACUAUUAUUCCAUGCAAGUCAUUUUCUACAGCUGUGGUUGCAAUUGCUCUAGUCACUUUUGAAUUAUAAUAUCCCUGUUUCACACUAAGGGUGUUUGUUUAUAAAGGUCUCCUCUGGGUUUCAUGCUUGCUUAUUCAAGACAAUAAACAGGUGCAUAGGGUAUGUACCUAAACAAAUCCCAGACUGAUACUCUGGUGUUCAUGUGGUAAAUUCUGGGUUGCACAAAGUUGUAAUAGUCUACAUGCAUUUACACACAUACAUGACUCUGUACUUUUUUGGAACCAUUUUUCUUGCACUUAAUUGCAUAUUAAAAUCAUAGACCACAGGAAAUUUUUGAACCCAAGGGCCUUUACUUGAUUUAAUAUAUUCUGUAUGCAAUCUAAUGUCUUCUUAAUCAUUAAUAACUGCUUGGUUAGCCUGAUAUAUUAUGUCAUGUUUCUAAAAGCAAAUUCCCAAGAAGCAAUCACAGAUAACUCAUACAAGAAUAUUUCAAAAUAUCACUCUUCCUUUCUUAUGAAUGAACACCCAUUUUUGGCUUCAGAACUUCCAAAUUAAAGAUGGAAGUAAUGGGUUUUCACAUAGUCCUGUACCUUUUGACUGUGGGAAGCGCUGUGUAAUGCUAUGACAAAUAACUAAAAUAAAAAUUUUAUUUUGA
This is a long non-coding RNA of Sphaerodactylus townsendi, 2011 nucleotides long. RefSeq lists it as uncharacterized. The record is from RefSeq and is a predicted model, not a curated record. NCBI's taxonomy places the organism in Eukaryota, Metazoa, Chordata, Lepidosauria, Squamata, Sphaerodactylidae. The transcript is spliced from 3 exons.